UGCUGUCCAGAACAACUAUAAAACUGGAGAAAGACUCAGCUGUUAAACACUACACUGGAAAUGAAGUUUUGAAGUGGGUGCACGUUGACCAGGAGAAAGUGUGCAUUAACUUGAGGGGAAAGGGUCCAGUGAAUUCCAAGAACAGCAGGAGGAGUCUAAAAAGAAGUCGUGUCCUGCUGACGUAUUAAGAAUUUACAGAUGCACUGGGAUGGUGGCUGUAGGGAAGUCGUGAAGUGUAAGGGAGACUGGGUGGGGAGAAGGGUCUUUAACUCUAUGAGGGGGUGCCCAUACACAUUAAUGUAGAGGAGAUAACAUCUUGUUCUGUCUUGGAAAGAGACCACAUUGGUUCAUGGGACUGUCUACUGCCCUGAGGACAAGUGCCCAAUAAAGGCUACUGACAGGCUGACUGCAGCUGGAGAGGGUCACCAAGAUGACUCAGAGGGCACUCUACAGAGUCCUACUGCCCGCACAGGGUCAUUUUGCUGCAGAGUUCAAGAAGACACAGCUGUUGGAUCUGAUGACUGCCUUCACACAGCAGGGACUGUCACUUCAGGUAUCAACCAGACUAUGGAAAAGCUUAAUGAAAUAAUGCACAAAAGACUCAUAAGCAUCAGUGAAAUCUCUCAAGUAACCAAGCACCUUAUUUAUGAAAGAGCUCAGAUACUAUUACUUCUUAAGCCUUCGUCUGGAGGAAUCCAUCAAUGUCCUUUUUCAAACUCUAAAAACACUCUCCAAAGAAGAAAGGCUAACUCUGUUCUGUGA
This 762-nucleotide long non-coding RNA is filed under the name Vulpes vulpes (red fox). RNAcentral's name for it is "lncRNA (ENSVVUG00000028783.1)". The record is from RNAcentral. Lineage: Eukaryota; Metazoa; Chordata; Mammalia; Carnivora; Canidae.